UACGUAGGGUGCAAGCGUUAAUCGGAAUUACUGGGCGUAAAGCGUGCGCAGGCGGCUUUGCAAGACAGAUGUGAAAGCCCCGGGCUUAACCUGGGAACUGCGUUUGAAACUGGGAGACUUGAGUGUGGCAGAGGGGGGUGGAAUUCCACGUGUAGCAGUGAAAUGCGUAGAGAUGUGGAGGAACACCGAUGGCGAAGGCAGCCCCCUGGGCUGAGAUUGACGCUCAGGCACGAAAGCGUGGGGAGCAAACAGG
RNAcentral lists this ribosomal RNA (253 nucleotides) under uncultured bacterium. Its description in RNAcentral is "partial 16S ribosomal RNA". It matches the Rfam family "Bacterial small subunit ribosomal RNA", at positions 524 to 776 of the family's 1533-position model. The record is from RNAcentral.